RNAcentral lists this ribosomal RNA (696 nucleotides) under uncultured bacterium. RNAcentral describes it as "bacterial SSU rRNA". It matches the Rfam family "Bacterial small subunit ribosomal RNA", at positions 742 to 1435 of the family's 1533-position model. The record is from RNAcentral.
GACACUUGAGGUUUGAAAGCGUGGGUAGCAAACAGGAUUAGAUACCCUGGUAGUCCACGCAGUAAAACGAUGUCUACCAGUCGUUGGGUCCCUUGAGGACUUAGUGACGCAGCUAACGCAAUAAGUAGACCGCCUGGGGAGUACGGCCGCAAGGUUAAAACUCAAAUGAAUUGACGGGGGCCCGCACAAGCGGUGGAGCAUGUGGUUUAAUUUGAUGCAACGCGAAGAACCUUACCUGGUCUUGACAUAUCUAGAAUCCUGCAGAGAUGCGGGAGUGCCUUCGGGAAUUAGAAUACAGGUGCUGCAUGGCUGUCGUCAGCUCGUGUCGUGAGAUGUUGGGUUAAGUCCCGCAACGAGCGCAACCCUUGUCCUUAGUUACCAGCGGGUUAAGCCGGGAACUCUAAGGAUACUGCCAGUGACAAACUGGAGGAAGGCGGGGACGACGUCAAGUCAUCAUGGCCCUUACGACCAGGGCUACACACGUGCUACAAUGGUAGGUACAGAGGGCAGCUACACAGCGAUGUGAUGCGAAUCUUUCAAAGCCUAUCGUAGUCCAGAUUGGAGUCUGCAACUCGACUCCAUGAAGUAGGAAUCGCUAGUAAUCGCGGAUCAGAAUGCCGCGGUGAAUACGUUCCCGGGCCUUGUACACACCGCCCGUCACACCAUGGGAGUUGAUUGCACCAGAAGUGGUUAGCC